RNAcentral lists this ribosomal RNA (497 nucleotides) under uncultured bacterium. Its description in RNAcentral is "partial 16S ribosomal RNA". It matches the Rfam family "Bacterial small subunit ribosomal RNA", at positions 28 to 507 of the family's 1533-position model. The record is from RNAcentral.
GAUGAACGCUGGCGGCGUGCCUAAUACAUGCAAGUCGAGCGAGCAGACGAGGAGCUUGCUCCUCUGACGUUAGCGGCGGACGGGUGAGUAACACGUGGAUAACCUACCUAUAAGACUGGGAUAACUUCGGGAAACCGGAGCUAAUACCGGAUAAUAUAUUGAACCGCAUGGUUCAAUAGUGAAAGACGGUUUUGCUGUCACUUAUAGAUGGAUCCGCGCCGCAUUAGCUAGUUGGUAAGGUAACGGCUUACCAAGGCAACGAUGCGUAGCCGACCUGAGAGGGUGAGCUGCCACACUGUAACUGAGACACGGUCCAGACACCUACACGAGGCAGCACUAGGGAAUCCUCCGCCAUUGGCGAAAGCCUGACGGAGCAACGCCGCGUGGGUGAUGAAGGUCUUCGGAUCCUAAAACUCUGUUAUUAGGGAAGAACAAAUGUGUAAGUAACUAUGCACGUCUUGACGGUACCUAAUCAGAAAGCCACGGCUAACUACGUG